GAUGAGGAUAGAGGUCGCGGCUUUUAUAGGAAUCUGUACGAGAUACAAAAGAUAUCGAGGACUACAGAAGAGGGAAAAGCUGCCGAAGCCCGCACUGCAUCUUUUGUGCAAACGGGCUGGGGCUGUACUCGAAAGGGACAGAACUGUCACGUUGGCGAGCCUGCGCUGACGUGUUGUGCUAUCUUCCGU
Molecule: non-coding RNA, 189 nt
Filed under: Brevibacillus panacihumi
Lineage: Bacteria; Bacillati; Bacillota; Bacilli; Caryophanales; Paenibacillaceae
Also listed under: 1 other name
Description: Lysine sequence
Rfam family: Lysine riboswitch aptamer
About the family: Riboswitches are metabolite binding domains within certain messenger RNAs that serve as precision sensors for their corresponding targets. Allosteric rearrangement of mRNA structure is mediated by ligand binding, and this results in modulation of gene expression.
Source: RNAcentral